RNAcentral lists this long non-coding RNA (1365 nucleotides) under Gadus morhua (Atlantic cod). Its description in RNAcentral is "lncRNA (ENSGMOG00000033510.1)". Lineage: Eukaryota; Metazoa; Chordata; Actinopteri; Gadiformes; Gadidae. The record is from RNAcentral.
UGGGAAGAGAGUAAUUUAUAUACAAGUCAAAAAAUAAAUUUGUGAAUCCUUCUCUGUGCAUUCAUUAUUAAUGAGACUGUUCUGACCCCAUAUGCUGCUAUGUGCCCUCAAUUGCCCCCUGGGGACAAAUAAAGUUUUUUUUUUUUUUUUUUUUUUUUUUAAUUUUAAUUUUGAAUAUCGACAUAUACAGACCUACUUCAUGGCCAGUCCACCAGCCAUUGCUAUUAGACCCAUUGUUGUUAUAUUGAGACAAAUCAUGAUCACUGUCCUAUAGCGUCCAUUUUUUGAGUCUCUUGUCUACUUCAAAUGCAAUUAGAAAUAUGGGACAGUUGCUUAAUUUUGUUCAUGUGCUACAGGCCGAAAGACUAAAUUAUAAUGUAACUUACUUGCUCCUUUUAAGUAUAACAUUGCUUAGGGAGUCCAAUGCCACUACUGAAAUGGGUGGAAAGUGCUUACAACUCUCUGCUAGUCAGCGAUCUAUCUCUUCUCUACUUGUAGUUGUGUUGCGCGAAUGCUGCUGAGGGAGGUAGUCUAUUUGAUUUAUUCUCUGAAUUGUCCCAUCAUGUGGUAAUAACAAAAAAAGAAGGCGAUACCAUUGGCCUGGGUCGCACACUGUUGCGACCCGAGGGCGAAUUUUCUUGCGCCAAUGAAAAGCUGUCUCUGCUUGAUAGACAGCAAAAAGUUAGUGUGCUUACACUAGCCGCGUUUACAUGGCACAUCUGAUCCGCAUAGAUUUCUAUGCGGCAUAGAUCUGUUCCUAAAAAUGUGUUCCGAAUGUACUGUAUACAUGGCAGUAACAAAAGUGUCCGUUAUGUCUCUCGCGCACACCUGACACAUCUCUGGACCGGCGGCGACAUAAUGGAUGUCUUAUCACUCGGGGAUUUUAAAUUUGAUUUUAAUGAAAACACAGCAGGAGAGAGCUUUUCUCUGCCUGCUCCUUCAAUUAAGACACGUCAUUAAUAAACACCCAUGUCCCGUCGCUAAGCAACCGGACACGCUUACCGGACUACUUUUACGGAGUGAUAAUAACAAAGACGUGAAUCAGGCAAUAAAUCCACUUUCAUUGACCGCGGUGAAGUUCGGUGUGCUUAAAAGUACCGACGGAGCUCAGGGGACCAAUGGCGAACUACUGCGGCUGCUCUAAAUUAAACCCCAAUCUAUUCGGAAUAAGUGUAUACAUGGCGAUUCAAACGGACUACACCACCACUUCUAUUCGGCAUAGAAUCUAUGCCGAACAGAUAAUUGUAUUCCGAAUGAGGCGUAUACAUGAUCAUUUUCUGUUCCGCAUAGAAAUCUAUGCGGAACAGAUGUGUCCAUGUAAACGCGGCUACUGACUCCAACGUGGCCAAGUGAAUAUUUCACGGA